This 154-nucleotide small RNA is filed under the name Bacteroides fragilis. Its description in RNAcentral is "Bacteroides sRNA BTnc231". It matches the Rfam family "Bacteroides sRNA BTnc231". Rfam says of the family: An uncharacterized small RNA discovered in Bacteroides thetaiotaomicron The record is from RNAcentral. Lineage: Bacteria; Pseudomonadati; Bacteroidota; Bacteroidia; Bacteroidales; Bacteroidaceae.
ACGUUUUUUUCAUAGAGAUUUAGAUUUAAGGUUAGAAGAAUUGUGGAAGUCGUGAGACUUCCCUUUUUUUCAUCUUAAAGUUUGCUUUCUUUUUGAGCUAAAGCAUAAAAAGAAAGUAAACCCAAAAAGCCGCUUCGUGAGAAGAGGCUUUUUU